RNAcentral lists this ribosomal RNA (253 nucleotides) under uncultured bacterium. Its description in RNAcentral is "partial 16S ribosomal RNA". It matches the Rfam family "Bacterial small subunit ribosomal RNA", at positions 524 to 776 of the family's 1533-position model. The record is from RNAcentral.
UACAGAGGUCUCAAGCGUUGUUCGGAUUCAUUGGGCGUAAAGGGUGCGUAGGCGGCGCGGUAAGUCGGGUGUGAAAUCUCGGGGCUUAACUCCGAAACUGCAUUCGAUACUGCCGUGCUUGAGGACUGGAGAGGAGACUGGAAUUUACGGUGUAGCAGUGAAAUGCGUAGAUAUCGUAAGGAAGACCAGUGGCGAAGGCGGGUCUCUGGACAGUUCCUGACGCUGAGACACGAAGGCCAGGGGAGCAAACAGG